RNAcentral lists this transfer RNA (76 nucleotides) under Patescibacteria group bacterium. RNAcentral's name for it is "tRNA-Phe". It matches the Rfam family "tRNA". Rfam says of the family: Transfer RNA (tRNA) molecules are approximately 80 nucleotides in length. The record is from RNAcentral.
GCUGAGGUAGCUCAGUUGGUAGAGCAUUCGCCUGAAGAGCGAGGGGUCGCCGGUUCAAGCCCGGCCCUCAGCACCA